AGCGAACGCUGGCGGCAGGCUUAACACAUGCAAGUCGAACGGGCACUUCGGUGUCAGUGGCAGACGGGUGAGUAACGCGUGGGAACAUACCUCUUGGUUCGGAACAACACAGGGAAACUUGUGCUAAUACCGGAUAAGCCCUUACGGGGAAAGAUUUAUCGCCGAGAGAUUGGCCCGCGUCUGAUUAGCUAGUUGGUGUGGUAAAGGCGCACCAAGGCGACGAUCAGUAGCUGGUCUGAGAGGAUGAUCAGCCACAUUGGGACUGAGACACGGCCCAAACUCCUACGGGAGGCAGCAGUGGGGAAUAUUGGACAAUGGGCGCAAGCCUGAUCCAGCCAUGCCGCGUGAGUGAUGAAGGCCUUAGGGUUGUAAAGCUCUUUUGUACGGGAAGAUAAUGACGGUACCGUAAGAAUAAGCCCCGGCUAACUUCGUGCCAGCAGCCGCGGUAAUACGAAGGGGGCUAGCGUUGCUCGGAAUCACUGGGCGUAAAGGGUGCGUAGGCGGGUUUUUAAGUCAGAGGUGAAAUCCUGGAGCUCAACUCCAGAACUGCCUUUGAUACUGAAAGUCUUGAGUAUGGGAGAGGUGAGUGGAACUGCGAGUGUAGAGGUGAAAUUCGUAGAUAUUCGCAAGAACACCAGUGGCGAAGGCGGCUCACUGGCCCAUUACUGACGCUGAGGCACGAAAGCGUGGGGAGCAAACAGG
RNAcentral lists this ribosomal RNA (702 nucleotides) under uncultured bacterium. RNAcentral describes it as "bacterial SSU rRNA". It matches the Rfam family "Bacterial small subunit ribosomal RNA", at positions 28 to 776 of the family's 1533-position model. The record is from RNAcentral.